RNAcentral lists this ribosomal RNA (500 nucleotides) under uncultured Glomeromycotina. Its description in RNAcentral is "partial small subunit ribosomal RNA". It matches the Rfam family "Eukaryotic small subunit ribosomal RNA", at positions 591 to 1092 of the family's 1831-position model. The record is from RNAcentral. Lineage: Eukaryota; Fungi; Glomeromycota.
CCAAUAGCGUAUAUUAAAGUUGUUGCAGUUAAAAAGCUCGUAGUUGAAUUUCGGGGUUAGUAGGUUGGUCAUGCCUCUGGUAUGUACUGGUCUCACUGAUUCCUCCUUCCUGAUGAACCUUAAUGCCAUUUAUUUGGUGUUUUGGGGAAUUUGGACUGUUACUUUGAAAAAAUUAGAGUGUUUAAAGCAAGCUAACGCUUGAAUACAUUAGCAUGGAAUAAUGAAAUAGGACGUUCGAUCCUAUUUUGUUGGUUUCUAGGAUUGACGUAAUGAUUAAUAGGGAUAGUUGGGGGCAUUAGUAUUCAAUUGUCAGAGGUGAAAUUCUUGGAUUUAUUGAAGACUAGCUACUGCGAAAGCAUUUGCCAAGGAUGUUUUCAUUAAUCAAGAACGAAAGUUAGGGGAUCGAAGACGAUCAGAUACCGUCGUAGUCUUAACCAUAAACUAUGCCGACUAGGGAUCGGAUGAUGUUAAUUUUUUAAUGACUCAUUCGGCGCCUUACG